CCCUCUCUCUCUCUCUCUCUCUCCAUGUGUCUGUUUCAAUGUUUUCACGGGAAAUUUUGGCUUGGAAAGUUGAUAACUUUGUGCUGCCUGUGGCGAGAUUAGUUUUCCGGGGAGAAAAUGGAAGUUUGGAGCUUCUUUUUUUUUUUCCCCCUUCCUUUGAACUUCUUGUCCUGAAUUCAUCUCUUCCUUGAGUAUCAUGUGCUAGAAUUUUAUUUCCUAAUCAAAAUUCCUCAUCUGGGUAUCACUGAACUGUUAUCAAUCUUUCUUACUUCAAUUCCUUUUCUAAUCCAAUGGCGCAAGCAGAGAAACCUCUGAACACCCAAAACCACCACCAGCAACAUCAGCACAUGUCUUUGAGCAAUAAUUUCCAUAAAGAUUUUGUGCAAACAUUCAUGCCUGGUAAUCAUUUCAACCACAAAGUUUGUGAAGAAACAGAAGGAGAAGAUGUUGAGUUAAGGCUUGGACUCUCGUUGAAUGGUAGAUUUGGUGUCGACCCAAAAGCUAACAAGCUCACUGGAUCAUCUUCAAUUCCAGAUUUUAUUAACCCAGCAAGAGAUAAUGGCAGUGCUUUUAUGGUAAAUUUGGUGAGUAACAAUCUUGUAAGGACUUGGUCUCUGCCUACAGAGACUGAUGAGGAGUGGAGGAAGAGAAAGGAGCUGCAGAUGCUUAGGAGAAUGGUCCAAAUGGAGGCUAAAAGGAAACGAUCAGAGAAACAAAGGAAUUUGAAGGCACUAAAUGAUAGAAAUAAGGGUUUUGGAGAAGAGAGCUACGAGGAAGAUAAGAGAGAAAAUGGCACCAUUAGCAAGAAUCAUAAGGAGCAGUUUGUCAAGAAUUUCAAUGGGCUGUUUGGAGCUAGUGCAGAAGGGCUUUUACCGCGAGCGCUAGUGACAGUAACAUCAUCUCAAGGGUCGAUUGGAUCACAGGGAAGUGGGUCAUCUGAAUCAGAAUCCGAGAGCCAGCCAGUUCAAGGUAACACAAUUACUCUUUAUUUUAUUUACAUAUUUAUUUGUAUAUAUUGAUUGCUGGUUGUCGUUUUUCUUCAAUAAGCUGAGUCUUUCAGGGAUUUUGCUUCGUAAUGUCAAUCAGCAUGAUCAGUAAGUUCUGCAGUCUGUGGCACUAUGUUUGGAUCAUGGUCCCUCAUGGUUUCAUAAUAUAUCGUAUGGUUUCUCACCUUGUUGAGGAGCUCAAUUUUUCUGGACUGCUGAAUUGUAAUGUUAUAUAUUUAAUUAUUUUACUGGGUUGUGUAUGCCAGCUUUCUGUGAGUUUAGUAGACGGAAGAAUUACAUCUACAGAGUGUCAAUAAUGAAAAGGGAACGUUAUUUGAAAUGUUCCUCUAAAUGCUUAUUUGUAUGAGGAGUGCCUACAGGCUAGAGGUUGGUUGAACUAUUUAUUCUAUUGGGACAAGAAACUCUUGCAUGCCGCAUUUCUAGGUAGUGUAUUUCUAGUUUAACAAUUCACUUUCCCUUUACCCUCGAAGAAGAAAAUUUUAAGAGAGAGAGAGAGAGAAGCAUAAUCAUGGAAGGAAAAAAAAAUGUUAAAUACAAUAUUUAGGCUUACAUUAUCUGCCUAGUUCCUUAACAUGAUUGAAAGGAGAAGCCUACUUGGCAGUUAGCGAUCUUGAUUACGAGUAGGAAGAUAAAUUGCUAGCAUAUUCCUUGCUUCAUGAAAAGUGCAUAAGAGUUCACAUUCAUGAUGUCAUCCUAGUGUUUAGGCCUUUGAGGCUUUAUGAUGCAGGUAAAAGUGGUUCAUAAGUGAGUUCUUGCUAACAUCUCAUAAAAUAGCACACAAUACAAUCAGUUAACCAGCAAAGCCUAACAUAUUGUAUACAAAUUUUGUAAGUUAGCAUCUGCAUGAUGCUUUUUUGGACUGAUGCUUUUAGAGUUCCUUUGUAGCAAUUUUAUAGCUCUUUAUGUCGGCGAGGCUUUCAAUUUGAAACUGGGCCAACUUGUCAAGGCUCUGCUCUUUAUCAGGGGCAAGAUGGCAGACUUGAAAGCUAUAGGAAAAUUCUUUUUCAAGCUAUUCAUUGAGGGGAGUGUAUUUUGUUCUUAAUUUUUAGAUGAACAUUGUAUUCAAUCAAUAAACUAUCAAGCUAAAAGUAGAAAUACGUUUGUAAUUAAGCUAAUAGGUGCUGUCCUUGAAUGAAGCAGCUGGAUGUUAUUACGCAUUGAAUGAUUCUGAUACGGUGAUAUGCGACAUCAAUCCUGUUGAUGUCUGAUAGCUUAGUAAGUUUAUGAUCCAGUAUUCUCGCUCUUUGUAAAUGCAAAGAUCAAUUUACUGGGUCAUUGAAAGAUUGCGCUGGCUUCCCAGAAUAAAUGUUUCAGUAAGCAAUUAAUUGGAUUAUUUUGCUGAGCUCUUGUUUCUUUAUUCUUUUUUUGCAAUAUAGGAACAAACAAAUGCAACGAGGCAAGAAGCCUUGUGAGUGUUCAGUCUUUGUCAGAGUGUGAGCAGAAAUUGAUGGCUACCCCUAAAUCAACGAUCAGUAAAAAAUCAAGCAGUCAUGAUGGUGUUGCAGUGGAAAAUAGCAGAUGUGGUGAACCUACAGUAGAGAAUGGAGCUAAGGAAAUGGUGAGGAAUUUAAUGGAAGACAUGCCAUGUGUGUCUACAAAGGGAGAUGGCCCCAAUGGAAAAAGAAUCAAAGGUUUUCUCUAUAGGUAUAAGAAAGGCGAGGAGGUGAGGAUAGUGUGUGUUUGCCAUGGAAGCUUUCUCUCACCAGCUGAAUUUGUGAAGCACGCUGGUGGUGGUGAUGUAGCACAUCCCCUUAAGCACAUAGUGGUUAGGCCCUAUCCCAUUUUGUAAUGAAAUUUUCAUGUUCAGCUUUAUGAACGAUGGUGAGGAAAAGAACAAGCAAAAAGGUUAAUGCAGUUCAUUUCUUCCCCCUUUUUCAGUUACAAUUUUUGUUCUCAGAUAUUAUCGUUAUUGAUACAUGAUGCCUGUCGCUGCAAAGGUAAACAUUGCGGUUUUUAAUCUUAUACUCAACAUUGUGACAGAAGAGGCUAGCUAUUGUGGCAAGGGUAAACAUGUUGCAGCAUAUUUUCACAACUUGGUUCCUAUACAAUACACAAUUUAAAUGUGUGGAGAUACAAGAUAUAUGAUGAAUAUAUAAGAUAUAUGAUGAAUCUGUUUAUUAAAUACAUGGUUUUAAAUAUUUGUAUUUUGGAUUUACAGAAUUUUCCGCAUGGGAUAUGACAUUAUGCAGUGUCUUAGCAUAAUUCUCAAGACGUAAAAUAGGGAGAAAAAUGCAUAUUUCCUUUACAAGAGUCCAACCUGUGGGAGAAAUCUUGUUGAUGUCUACAGGCAAGACUAAUGCCGAACUGAGAGAUCAAAAUGGCCAUCGAGAACAACGAGGAUGUAAUUGGGCUGCAAGUUUGGUCUUAUAAUUAGCGGUGAGCAAAAUUAAAUUUAAAAUAGAUAAAUAAAUUAAAUGAAUUAAUUUAAUUUAAAAAUUGUUUGAUUUAUUAAAUAAUUUAGUUAGAUUUAAAUUUAAUUCGCAGGCUAUGCUGCCUCCAUCUACGAUUGCCUCAUUGGCUGACCUUGGCUUGCUUCUUUUCGGUCUUGAUUGUGUCCAUACGCUUUUCUCAUUGCUUUUGUUUCUUCUGUGGGUGAGAAAUUUUAUUGCUUUUUGUGUAUAUGAGAAAUAUGUGGGUGAGAAAUUAAUGUCAAAUUUUCUUUCUUUUGAAAAUUGGGUAUUUGAAUAUGUGAGCUUUUGUUAUCUUUUAGAGCUUGUUUUAUAGCUAGGAAAAGUGAAACGUAAAUGGUAAGAAAAAAAAAUGGAAAAACAGAAAGGAAAAUAGAAGAAGAAAAAAUUAAAAGUUUAAUUUUCUUAUUUUGUAAGAAAAAAAAUGAAAAAAGAAAAAGCUUGCAAGAAUUUGUGUGGAGAAUGCUUAAAGAAUAUUUUUGAACCAUUUUGUUUUUCACUUAAAUUGAGCAAGAG
Molecule: unclassified non-coding RNA, 3931 nt
Filed under: Hevea brasiliensis (rubber tree)
Lineage: Eukaryota; Viridiplantae; Streptophyta; Magnoliopsida; Malpighiales; Euphorbiaceae
Source: RNAcentral